Molecule: unclassified non-coding RNA, 269 nt
Filed under: uncultured Stachybotryaceae
Lineage: Eukaryota; Fungi; Ascomycota; Sordariomycetes; Hypocreales; Stachybotryaceae
Description: sequence contains 5.8S rRNA gene
Rfam family: 5.8S ribosomal RNA (bases 1-53)
Source: RNAcentral
GAACGCACAUUGCGCCCGCCAGUAUUCUGGCGGGCAUGCCUGUCCGAGCGUCAUUUCAACCCUCAGAGCCCACCGCUUGCGGUGCGGCGCUGGUGUUGGGGAUCGGCCCGCCUCGCGCGGCGCCGUCCCCCAAAUACAGUGGCGGUCUCGCUGCAGCCUCCCCUGCGUAGUAGCAACACUCGCAUGCGGAGCGCGGCGCGGCCACGCCGUAAAACCCCCGACUUUCUGAACGUUGACCUCGGAUCAGGUAGGAAUACCCGCUGAACUUA